This 350-nucleotide ribosomal RNA is filed under the name uncultured bacterium. RNAcentral's name for it is "bacterial SSU rRNA". It matches the Rfam family "Bacterial small subunit ribosomal RNA", at positions 356 to 705 of the family's 1533-position model. The record is from RNAcentral.
GAGGAAUAUUGCGCAAUGGGCGAAAGCCUGACGCAGCCACGCCGCGUGAAGGAAGACACCCCUACGGGGCGUAAACUUCUUUUAUGUGAGAAGAAGACCCUAUACGCUAGGGUUUGACGGUAUCACAUGAAUAAGCACCGGCUAACUCCGUGCCAGCAGCCGCGGUAAUACGGAGGGUGCAAGCGUUGUCCGGAAUCACUGGGUGUAAAGGGUGUGUAGGCGGGACAGUAAGUCAGAGGUGAAAUCCCACAGCUCAACUGUGGAACUGCCUUUGAUACUGCUGUUCUUGAAUAUCGGAGGGGUAGCUGGAAUUCGUGGUGUAGCGGUGAAAUGCGUAGAUAUCACGAGGA